GCGAACGCUGGCGGCAGGCCUAACACAUGCAAGUCGCACGCACCUUUCGGGGUUAGUGGCGGACGGGUGAGUAACACGUGGGAACGUGCCUUUAGGUUCGGAAUAACUCAGGGAAACUUGUGCUAAUACCGAAUGUGCCCUUCGGGGGAAAGAUUUAUCGCCUUUAGAGCGGCCCGCGUCUGAUUAGCUAGUUGGUUGAGGUAAUGGCUCACCAAGGCGACGAUCAGUAGCUGGUCUGAGAGGAUGAUCAGCCACAUUGGGACUGAGACACGGCCCAAACUCCUACGGGAGGCAGCAGUGGGGAAUCUUGCGCAAUGGGCGAAAGCCUGACGCAGCCAUGCCGCGUGAAUGAUGAAGGUCUUAGGAUUGUAAAAUUCUUUCACCGGGGACGAUAAUGACGGUACCCGGAGAAGAAGCCCCGGCUAACUUCGUG
Molecule: ribosomal RNA, 433 nt
Filed under: uncultured bacterium
Lineage: Bacteria
Description: partial 16S ribosomal RNA
Rfam family: Bacterial small subunit ribosomal RNA
Source: RNAcentral